UAAUCCAUAGUCACUGUAGUGGUGGGGGUUUCCGUGGACUGCCUAUGAGAGGGGCACGAUAACCUAAUUAUAUAUUUACCUUCGGGGGGAGAUGUUGGAUUAAGUAUCUCCUGAGGUAAAAAUUUGAGUGCACUUCAUGUGGACCACCGCGUGAGAGUGAGACUCAGCAAACGCCAAGGCAUGGCUAAAAUUUUGGAUGUAAAGACAUUUAACAACCUUGGCGGACUCUGUUGGGAUAACCCUCGAUCAAG
RNAcentral lists this long non-coding RNA (251 nucleotides) under Theobroma cacao (cacao). RNAcentral describes it as "long non-coding RNA (TCAC_LNC001570)". The record is from RNAcentral. Lineage: Eukaryota; Viridiplantae; Streptophyta; Magnoliopsida; Malvales; Malvaceae.